Long non-coding RNA from Cygnus olor (mute swan), 4780 nucleotides. RefSeq lists it as uncharacterized. NCBI's taxonomy places the organism in Eukaryota, Metazoa, Chordata, Aves, Anseriformes, Anatidae. The record is from RefSeq and is a predicted model, not a curated record. The transcript has 3 exons.
CUUUCAAAACGUUUGCUGUACUCAUCUGUACCCCUCACAAACUUACCAGAUACAGCCACAAGUUUGUAAAUACCCUGCAAUUCUACGAGUUGAACAUUCAAGGGAUUAAUUUAGCAACAGCUGCAGCAAAUAUGGAACAAGUGAGGGCCCUGCAGGGAGGGAGAGCUCUUGAGGCCGACUGGGUGCUGUUGCUUGGAGAGAGGCUGCAGGCCUGAAGUGGGGUGAGCAUGGCUGAGUGAGAGCGGUCCUGAGCUUGGAGGAGCCUGAAGGAAGAGGAAUAUGAGGUGCUCCUUGGUACUGGGUGUCAGGGUGACAACAGUAGAGAUGCCUGUAUUCCAACCACUGGUUUGCAUCUUUGAGCUUUGAGGGCCAGACAAGUUAAUUUUAACAGCUAUCAACACUGAAUUUGGUGAGUCUGUAUUCAGCUAGAGCAACUGAAAGUAGAAUCUCCUCUGUGGGAACCAAAGCCAAAAGGGGAAAGGAAAAAACAAACAAACAAAACUACUUUUAUCAGAUUUUCCAGUGCUGAAUAGAAUCAUGCUACUGGGGAGAACGGGAAAGGUGUCAAAGAUGCAGCUAUAACUUCCUAUAUGCUGAUCAGUCUAUACUGACUGACCCUGGAUGACUUAAAUGACCAUGAGAUCAAUCCAGUUUACAUUGCUGGAAUUAAUUUUUCAUGAAGUGGAGAAUCGCUGGAGCAGAGCAUCCCAAAUACCCUUUUGUUCCCAGUUAAAAUCCUUAACAAGAUCGGAAAGGCACAGAAACCUCUUCCAUUUGGCUUUAUCCCCUUACAGAGAGGGUUUGGCUUCUGGUCACUCAGAGCAAAAUACCUGUUCUUUGUGUCACUUGUACAGGAUCUGACUUUUUAAUUUAGGAUUUGUAAGCCACCUGCAUCAGGGCUGCACCUAGACCCAAUGGUUUGGAGAAGUUCCCAGUGGCUCCUGCUCCUCCGGUCCCCCAGGUGAGCCAGUGGUGUAAGCGUGGGAUAACAACCAAGCUGAGGAGCUGCGUGCAGAGUGAACUCCUGCUGCUCCUAACUUCUCUAGCUGCAUUUACACUACACCAAGGUAGUUCUCUGGAAGAAGUAGCCACAAGUCCACGUUGGCAGAGCUGGAUCUGAAGGCCCUUGACUGUAUUCCUUUGGGAAAAUCCCGUGUGCCUGGUACUGGGAGCACUGCUGACAGGCAUGCAGCUGAUGUGACUCCUUCCACUCGUCCAUCUGCCCCUGUAAGUGACAAAGCAAAGCAACAAAAAUGACUGAGAUUUCUGGGGAACCUCAGUGCCUUCCUAAAGGAGCACUAACAUCAGCUGCUGCAGGAGCAGAUGGGAUUUGUAGGACCCCCAAGCCCCAUCUGUUCACAAUAGACUUGAUGAGCCCAAGAUCCAGGGCACAGCUGAAUGUAAUGGUUAGCCCAGUGCUGUCAGCUGGCGGUGGAGAACAAGUGGGUCAGAGCAGCAGGAUUAGAAAGCAGAAGGUAAAAGCUUCUUUCUGGAAAAUGACAGAAAACACUUUUUACUGCUGUUGAAAUAUACAUGUGGUAGCAGCCAAAGUCUAGCAAGACCUAAAUCUGACUGGCUAUCCUCUGAACAGCCUUUUACCUUCUGAGUUACCUACAGCUGUGGCUACGCUGACCAAAUCAGCUCGCUGACUGCAGCGUGCAACCUUUUACUUAGUGGGUGGAGCUGGCACAGCAGCAUUUGUAACCUCAGAAGCUUGAAUAACCCAGUUUCUAAAAUCAUCGUACUCGCCAGGCUAUGCAAAGCAACAUAUAAUUAGAGCAGCCUCGACUAUUUCUAUUGAAACAGCUUUUGCAGCUUCUUGUUAGUUCUGAUAACAGGAAUGUUGCUGCUUCUGCACUAAUUGCUCUAACAACCUUCUGAGGGCUCAGCCCUGCCGUUUGUAUGUAGGGUUCCUGCUGAGCACACUGCUCUUACAGCGCAGGGGCUGCUGGCAAGAACAGGGAGCAGUGCUGGCUGCUGCUCUGCAAGUUUUUCCUCCAAAAAAACUAGAAGAGGCAUUAUCGCUUGUUACUGAUACACUUUGUCGCUGUGAUCUGCUCAGGUAAAUCUCUCUGAUUCCAUGAGGAGCUCCUCAGCCCUGUCUGCCUCCGUGGGCUCAGCUGUGACUUUCAGGAGCAGUCUUUCUCUACUGGGAGAGGGAGGAACACCCUUGGGUGAAAAAUGAUGAGCGCUUCUAAGAUGUCAUCCCUCUGCUGAUUAACUCACUAUUUUAUAUGGUGGGAAGAUGCUAGAGCUUCCUUUACACUCCCUUACCUUUGACGUAUUUAAGAUUCUCCAGGAUAGGAGAGCUUAUGCCCCGGUUUGGCUGUGAUUCUCAGCUGACACCUGGCAUUUCCACUUGGGGAGCAGCAGGGCACAGCUCACCUCUCUGGGGCAUAAACUCCUAGGACUGCUCGGCCGUGCUCGCAAGUGAGCUUCUUUGCCCAGCUGUGUUGUCAUGUCCCUGCAAUCUCAAACUCCAGCUGUGCCUGCACAGAAGACAAAUCAGCCACACAUCCCAAAAUGCCUAAGAAGACCAUCAGAGCUUUCCACACCAAAGCAAAGCUUCCCCUUUAGAGCCCCGGCUGAUGGUGGUGGGGUCAGGCUAAUGCAUUAGCAAGGCAGGAUCUUGCCCGUGUACUGCAGGUUGGAGUGGUGUAUUUGAAAUACUUUAACAAAAACUUUAUCAGUUGCUCUCUCUGGGGAAUUUGCCUGAUAUGUUGCAAUCAUCUGGAUAUUUUAACAGUUUCAAUAGACUUGCAUCAAAAUCACUUUGCCAUCAUCUUGACAUAGUAAUGUAGUCUCCAGUGACUGCAGUGACAUUAUUUUGCCAUCAUCUUGAUAUCAUCUAUUACAGCGUUGUAGUCCCCAUGCUCUGGCAUUGCUGAGUGCUUUGCCUCAUUAUAUUAUUUUCAUAAGCUUGCUUGGAAAUUAGUGCAAAAGAGCUGUGGUUUUCAUAGCCAGUUACAUGCAUAGGGGGAGUUCCCUGAAAUCAGAAAAGAUAUUUCAAGUACGCCGAUCAGCUAUUUUAAGAACACUCCAGAUUUUUAACAUUUUUCCUUUAAAUGACCAAAAUGUUUAAUUCAUACAAAACCGCCAGAAAAAUGUUCACUUAGGAGGUAAAUGAUGUUUUACUCAGAAUUUGGCAAGAGUACUGAGAACCGGUUCCAAAUUAUGCUUUUGUUCAAUUCUCCAUCAUUAAAAGCAACAUAAACUUGCUUAAUCUUUUUGGGAUGUGCACUGGAAGAAACAUUGUUUAUUGCAGCUUGAAAUAUUCUUACAUUUGUGAUCCAAUGAUUCCUACGUUUGUGACCCAACUUACUCUGAAUCAGCCCAGUCCUCAGCUAUACCACUUGACGUUUUGAAUAUAAACUUUCACAAACGUAUCACAAAUAUCUUCACAGGCACAGAUAAUUUCAGAGAUGAAAUUACCUGUGUUGAAUUGAAUUUGAAUCUCUUGUUGAAUUGACUUUGAUGGGGGAAAAGCUUGAGUCUGGGCUUAGCAUGAACAGAUUUAGCUAAAUCCACGUUGAACUCCGCCAUUCUUUGUGGCUAAGACAAACUCGGCUUCUUCAAUGGGGUUGCUAAUGUCAGUAUGAAGUGUGCACAUAAGUACUUGGAGGAUCCAAGAGUGCAAGAGCCAGAUGUAAAGAUUCCCACUGACUUUAAUGGCUUUAAAAUGGCUUCAGCAGAUUUAGAUCAGGCCCUUAGAGAGCUUCUACUUGUUAAUAUUUGUAGAAACAGGAGGAAAUUUUAAGCUUGGUACAUCAGUCAGUGCACAACGGUAAGCCUCUGGCAAUCCUGUAAGUGCUGGAGUUUGGAACUUAAAUAUGGAAAGUGCUGUCUGCGGUGGUUCAGCUCUGCAAAGGCCAGGAACAAGCUGCACCACUGACAUCACUGGAGAGAGCUGACACGGGACCUGAUGCUAAACAGCAGUUCAUAUUUUGUAACCUUUCUGUAAAUCGCCAGAGGGUCCCUGCUUCUCAAAACCUUGUUGUUUUCAUGUCUCUGCUCCACUGGUCUCUCUUUCACCUUUUUAGUUAAUCGCAUUUUCUAAAGAAAACAGCAAUUAAAAACAGGUAUCUAAUGAAGGCAUUAAUCUUCUUUUCAUGCCUUUGCAGGAGGCCAUCAGAUUAUAAACAUGAAGUUGCGAAAUAAAAUUAGUUUGAUUAUUUCUUAAUCAGGGGGAAAACGGUUGUGUUAUUUUUUUUUUGCCAUUGAUGUUACCCUUUUCAAAAGCACACACAUAGCAGGAGUUUUAAAAUUUCGGCUUUUAAAGGAUGUUGUCUCACAUUCUAGUACUGAUCCUUGCAGUAUUGUCUCUUGGUUGGCUGCCCUUUCAUUUCUCUUCAAUUACAGCUCUCUCAAAAGCUGUAUAGAGAAAGAUGCAAAAGAAUAACACGGGCCAUUAUUCUAGGCUUUCAGCGGUGGUAGACUCCACUAUAGCAGCCGUUCAAAUAAUGACUGAGCUAUCGCUUCCCUCAGAAGCUGUGCUGACAAAAUGCCACCAACAAAAUUCACGGACUUAGUUAAUGUUUAGUGGUGACAAGUUAUAGGAUGAUAUGGAAUCUCUUUCCAUUCAAAACCAGAAUUAUCUCGUAGCUCUGCAAGCUAUAUUAAAUCUCCAUUAGCUCAAAAAUGAGGCUAAAAUCAGGCCAUUCAUACACAGACAUCUGCUGAGCUUGCAGAUGAAUAAAACUUUGUGCUUCUCCCCUAUAUUCAGGGGGUUGGCAAACAAAUAAUUAUUUUCUGUUUCUAUUUUGUUCAUACAAAGCCACCA